This 625-nucleotide long non-coding RNA is filed under the name Callithrix jacchus (white-tufted-ear marmoset). RNAcentral's name for it is "lncRNA (ENSCJAG00000068540.2)". The record is from RNAcentral. Lineage: Eukaryota; Metazoa; Chordata; Mammalia; Primates; Cebidae.
CUGAACGUGGGGGUUGGCUUCUCUGGCACUGCUGGGGCCAUGGGCGCUGGGAAGUCGUUGCCAGGCAGACUACGGAUGUACAGCUGGCAGAAUCCAUUGGAUCAGUGAGCUCACAGGAGGCUGGCCCCUCCAGGUUCAGGCAAUUGUCCCUCCUCAGCCUCCGGGGUAGCUGGGACUACAGGCGUCCACCAGGGCCCCAACAUCAUCCCAGCAGACAUCAUUUUCAUUGUAAAGGAGAAGCUACACCCUCACUUCUGCAGGGAGAAUGACAACCUUUUCUUCAUGAACCCCACCCCUCUGGGUGCUCUCGCCUGCAGCACUGUGGAGGUGAAGACCCUCGAUGACCAUCUUCUCAACAUCCCCAUCAAUGACAUCGUCCACCCCAAAUACUUCAAGAAGGUGCCAGAGACGCGGGCUCAAACCCCUGGCCACACUGCAAGGAUGGCAGGAGUGAACCACCAUGCCUGGGUAGCAAGCGCCAUCUUUCUCAAGAUACACCAUGAAAGUUGAGACAAAGAGGAAAAUAAAAGUAUGCAUCUUCUUCAUAAUGCGUGUCUUAACGAACUGUAAUAAAGAAAUGCGUAUUGGAGCUCUUUUUAAGAUGGCAAUUGUUGCAAAAUCUAAC